AUACGGAAGGUCCGGGCGUUAUCCGGAUUUAUUGGGUUUAAAGGGAGCGCAGGCGGCCUGUUAAGCGUGAGGUGAAAGCUCGGGGCUCAACCCCGGAACUGCCUCGCGAACUGGCGGGCUUGAAUGUCCGUGCCGGGGGAGGAAUGUGGGGUGUAGCGGUGAAAUGCAUAGAGAUCACACAGAACACCGAUUGCGAAGGCAUCUCACGAACGGAUGAUUGACGCUGAGGCACGAAAGCGUGGGGAUCAAACAGGAUUAGAUACCCUGGUAGUCCACGCAGUAAACGAUGAUUACUAGCUGUUUGCGAUAUACAGUAAGUGGCACAGCGAAAGCGUUAAGUAAUCCACCUGGGGAGUACGCCGGCAACGGUGAAACUCAAAUGAAUUGACGGGG
This 393-nucleotide ribosomal RNA is filed under the name uncultured bacterium. Its description in RNAcentral is "partial 16S ribosomal RNA". It matches the Rfam family "Bacterial small subunit ribosomal RNA", at positions 523 to 918 of the family's 1533-position model. The record is from RNAcentral.